UACAGAGGGUGCGAGCGUUUGUUCGGAAUUAUUGGGCGUAAAGCGCUUGUAGGCGGCACGUCAAGUCGCGUGUGAAAUCCCCAGGCUUAACCUGGGAAGUGCGCGCGAAACUGACGAGCUUGAGUGCCGGAGAGGGUCGCGGAAUUCCCGGUGUAGAGGUGAAAUUCGUAGAUAGUCGGGAGGAACACCAGUGGCGAAGGCGGCUCACUGGCCCGAUACUGACGCUGAGGCACGAAAGCGUGGGGGAGCAAACAGG
RNAcentral lists this ribosomal RNA (256 nucleotides) under uncultured bacterium. RNAcentral describes it as "partial 16S ribosomal RNA". It matches the Rfam family "Bacterial small subunit ribosomal RNA", at positions 524 to 776 of the family's 1533-position model. The record is from RNAcentral.